Molecule: ribosomal RNA, 117 nt
Organism: Catenulispora acidiphila DSM 44928
Lineage: Bacteria; Bacillati; Actinomycetota; Actinomycetes; Catenulisporales; Catenulisporaceae
Source: Rfam
UACGGCCGCCAUAGCGGUGGGGAAACGCCCGGUCCCAUUCCGAACCCGGAAGCUAAGCCCGCCAGCGCCGAUGGUACUGCCAGGGGGACCUGGUGGGAGAGUAGGACGCGGCCGGAC